GCAGUCGAACGGUAACGGGCCUUCGGGUGCCGACGAGUGGCGAACGGGUGAGUAAUAUAUCGGAACGUACCAUUGAGUGGGGGAUAACGUAGCGAAAGUUACGCUAAUACCGCAUAUUCUCUCCGGAGGAAAGCAGGGGAUCGCAAGACCUUGCGCUCAUUGAGCGGCCGAUAUCAGAUUAGCUAGUUGGUGGGGUAAAAGCUCACCAAGGCGACGAUCUGUAGCGGGUCUGAGAGGAUGAUCCGCCACACUGGAACUGAGACACGGUCCAGACUCCUACGGGAGGCAGCAGUGGGGAAUUUUGGACAAUGGGCGCAAGCCUGAUCCAGCCAUGCCGCGUGAGUGAAGAAGGCCUUCGGGUUGUAAAGCUCUUUCAGCCGGGAAGAAAACGCAUGGGUUAAUACCCUGUGUGGAUGACGGUACCGGAAUAAGAAGCACCGGCUAACUACGUGCCAGCAGCCGCGGUAAUACGUAGGGUGCGAGCGUUAAUCGGAAUUACUGGGCGUAAAGCGUGCGCAGGCGGUUUGGUAAGACAGGCGUGAAAUCCCCGGGCUUAACCUGGGAACUGCGUUUGUGACUGCCAGGCUAGAGUACGGCAGAGGGGGGUGGAAUUCCACGUGUAGCAGUGAAAUGCGUAGAGAUGUGGAGGAACACAAUGGCGA
This 662-nucleotide ribosomal RNA is filed under the name uncultured bacterium. RNAcentral's name for it is "bacterial SSU rRNA". It matches the Rfam family "Bacterial small subunit ribosomal RNA", at positions 57 to 718 of the family's 1533-position model. The record is from RNAcentral.